GAGUUUGAUCGUGGCUCAGAUUGAACGCUGGCGGCAUGCCUUACACAUGCAAGUCGAACGGCAGCGCGGGGCAACCUGGCGGCGAGUGGCGAACGGGUGAGUAAUAUAUCGGAACGUACCCUAGAGUGGGGGGAUAACGUAGCGAAAGUUACGCUAAUACCGCAUACGAUCUACGGAUGAAAGUGGGGGCUCGCAAGACCUCAUGCUCGUGGAGCGGCCGAUAUCUGAUUAGCUAGUUGGUAGGGUAAAAGCCUACCAAGGCAUCGAUCAGUAGCUGGUCUGAGAGGACGACCAGCCACACUGGGACUGAGACACGGCCCAGACUCCUACGGGAGGCAGCAGUGGGGAAUUUUGGACAAUGGGCGCAAGCCUGAUCCAGCAAUGCCGCGUGAGUGAAGAAGGCCUUCGGUU
This 411-nucleotide ribosomal RNA is filed under the name uncultured bacterium. RNAcentral describes it as "bacterial SSU rRNA". It matches the Rfam family "Bacterial small subunit ribosomal RNA", at positions 9 to 423 of the family's 1533-position model. The record is from RNAcentral.